RNAcentral lists this ribosomal RNA (134 nucleotides) under Campylobacter jejuni. RNAcentral's name for it is "partial 23S ribosomal RNA". It matches the Rfam family "Bacterial large subunit ribosomal RNA", at positions 2779 to 2925 of the family's 2925-position model. Lineage: Bacteria; Pseudomonadati; Campylobacterota; Epsilonproteobacteria; Campylobacterales; Campylobacteraceae. The record is from RNAcentral.
AUCUAAGCGUGAAGCCAACUCUAAGAUGAAUCUUCUCUAAGCUCUCUAGAAGACUACUAGUUUGAUAGGCUGGGUGUGUAAUGGAUGAAAGUCCUUUAGCUGACCAGUACUAAUAGAGCGUUUGGCUUAUCUUU